This is a long non-coding RNA of Schistocerca serialis cubense, 3967 nucleotides long. RefSeq lists it as uncharacterized. The record is from RefSeq and is a predicted model, not a curated record. The transcript is spliced from 2 exons. Lineage: Eukaryota; Metazoa; Arthropoda; Insecta; Orthoptera; Acrididae.
UGCUCAGGUAGUGCAAAUGCUUGUGUGACAGAGCUGUUUUCCCAAACUAGCUUGCACCCAAUAAAGUAGAAGGCAUGGUAUGUUCAGGAUUGAAGUAGUAUGACAUUGCUGAUUCUGAUGAUUUCCUUAUCAAGAGUUCUGUUUGAUCGACCACUACUGUGGGUGGCGACUGCCUCAGAUGACAAAGGACUGAACUGGCCUGAUACACCUUGGUGCUGUCCUAAAUACCCUGGCAGUGCCAGGGUACAACUGGAUUUAUUUCUGGCCAUGUGACUCCAUGGAAGCAAGCAGGGCCAGCAGGCUCUGGUGGUGUUCACAAUGCUGCCUUGGGGCUCAGUGUUGUGUGACGUCCCCUGUUCACUGUGUAGGCUGCUUGAAUAUUGAUGGUGUGAGAGAGGUUGCCGGUAGAGAGAGAAAAUCGUCCCUACACAGCACACAUUUGUCAGGAAUUGAUAGAUCAGUCACUAAAAUAAAGUCAGUAUGGAAUAUUGUUGGCACUGGGACAGGAAAAAAAGCCUUGUGAGUCUAUUUCUGUUCAAGGGAAAGGCAGCACUGUUAAAAGGCAGUUCAUGUAUAGUUGAUAUUUUUAAUAACUUCUUUUGUAAAUUAAGUAAAAAAACUGGUGCCAGAAAUUGAGAAAACAGUUCACUGAAAAAGCAGUAUGGAGGAAAUUUAUGGAAAUGAAGGUUUCUCACACAUCGUUGUUUGAAAUAAGGAAUAUCAACAUGAUUCUCAAAUGUAAUAGUUUUUAUGGAGUUAUCUCCAAUAAGACACAAAAACAUGGGGAGGCUAUAACAUGUAAUAUUUCAGACACUUGUUUAAUGCAUCAUUUAUUCAGGGUAUUUUCCCAGGUGGAUUAAAAUAUGCCAUUGUUAGAUGCCACCAUAAAGGUGAUUUCAGUCAUAAAUAAUGGAAGGUUGUCCCCUACCUGUGCAGGAAAAUGAUACUUAGUCAAUUAUAGUUUGGAUAUCAAACGAGCUGCUCUACUGAGACAGCUACUUAUACUCUUACUGAGCACAGUGUGAGAAAUGACGUUUUAAUAUCAUAUAUGGCUCAGCACAUGCUAGUUUAGUUCCUAUUUUAGGAACAGUACGCUGGAAGUUACACUAACAUUGCUAAGAUGUUCGCCAAAUACAAACACGCACCCCACAUCAUCAGCAUGGGAAGAAAUCAUAGUGGCCAUUCCACAGUCUCCAUUCAUGAAUGCAUUACUAUUCUUGGCUCUAUGUUAACUGUGGGAAUUGCACAAAAAUAAAAAUAUCACUGGCUCUCAACGGAGACACAUGCAAGUAGUAGGUGAUGUAUCUUCACUGUAUCACAAUAUUGUGUGUGCUUAUUUAGAUACGGGUUGUGUUAUUAUACAUAGUACAUCCCUUGUAUAGUGUGGCCUAUGAUGAUCAUGUUUAUGUUCAAUUCGAGACGUAUACAGUUACCACACAGCUGCGAUGCUGCUGUCAUGUCCCCAUUAUGCUGCACCUUCCACAGCAGUGAUACCUGGGGUUAUAGAUAACACCCUCAAGCAUCUCAAGGUAUCACGACAAUACUCUGACAGUGAAAAAUGGUGCUGAGAAGUGGAGUGCAUUGGCCAACCUGCUCUGCAAUUACACAGUGGACUUUGCUCUACUCACAAACCAGGUUACUUCCAUGCCACAUCAAUCUGACUGGUCAGAUUCACAUUUCCUCUCUUUGGCUGAAAGGUCAUCUGCGAUGCACAUGAAUUCAAUCACUCCAGGCCUCAUGCAGCUGGCUGCAUUGUCUACCAGCUUGCUUACUAUGGAUCGCGACAUGCCACAUAUGGAGCUUAAUUGCACCGUCAUUCUUCCUCUACAGAUGUCACAGUGGCAACCUACUGGACUCGAGACUCAUCUUAAGCUGACACCAUUUUGGCUGGAUCAAUUAAGUCUGUGGUUCACCAUUGUGAAAAGCAUUUUUGCUUUGAGCAACAUCAUCAGUGACUGCACAAGAUUGAACAUGUGGGUACAAUUAGCAAUAUCAUCUUAGCCUCACCCUUGGACAAAUACUGUAAAAACAGCACUCACCUGUCACCUCACCCACUCCCUGGAAGAAUAGUUAUGCUGCAACAUCUACAAUGAACAGUUAAAGGACAAGACUCAAUCACAGCUAUUAUGUCGGUUAUGCACUCACAUUGAUUUGCAUCUUGUUUCCAAUCACAUACUAUGGACUUGAUGGGUCAUCAGGCUGCUCGCCGCAAGUUCAACUGGUCACAGUCACCUAUGAGCAAGAGUAAUUAGAUGCACACUGCAUUCUUACAGAUAGAAUAUUUUCCAUCCUUCAACAUCAAUAAUGUAAUAAGAACACAGACAACAAUGACACUGCAUGUUACUUGCAACCACAGUGGGAGCACAACCGACCUCCCACAUACCAUAAGCUGAGCUGAUAUCACCUGGCCUUUGCUGAUCCUGAUGUCACCACUGAUAGCCAGAAUGACAACAAAUCUCCUUCCACCUUCUGUGCCACACCCACACUUGUGCUGAUCCACUUCUGCUGGUACCACACAUGAUUCAGUGACUCUUCCUGGUACUGUCGCCUGCCAUGUGACUUCCCAAAUUCUAUGGAUGAUUCACAGGAGGUGCACUGAACCAUGCAGGAUAUCUGAGCCAUCUAGACACUCAGAACUCUGAUGAUGACUCUCUCCUGCCUCAUUUUCAUCAUGACAACAGACUCUUCAUUCUCAAUCCCAUCAGCGGCCAACACUUCCUUGUUGACUCCAGCUCAGAAACCAUCCCUGAUGCCCAACAGCUCAGUUGUCCAGCUUCACACAGCAAAUGACUCAAUAAUCUGAGUCUAUGGAUUGCAGACCUGUAUGGUGGACUUGGGUUUUGAUGACAUUUCCAAAUUGACAUUUGUUGUUGCUGUUGUUAGUGAGCCAGUACUUGAUGUACACGUCCUUCAAAACUUCUGUUUGUUUCCUGAUCUAUUUGGCAGUGUUUUGACUCACACUGUUAGUGGCCACACUGUCACAGGUGUCAGCGGCCAUGCCCCCUUGGCGGCAGAGCUGGGACUGCCCACUUAACGUAACAGCUUCUGCCACUUACCAUAACACCCAAUGCCACUGACCAGUACCUUCAGAACUGCCUUCAUGCCAUCGAUCACAUUAAAAAACGAGAGCAACAGUAUUUCAGCACGCACAUGAUGGACAUCCAGUUGCAACAUGAAAGUAAUGCCAUCCACUGCAGAAUUCACAAAGUUGUGGAGGAACUCCACAUGGCUUGGUGCUGUCUUGACCAGCUUUAUUGGCUGCCUCCAUCCAGUUCUGAUGUACCCUCUGUCUCUCCACAUUGACCUGACCCUCAAGUUCGUUUGCCAUCUGUGGAUACAUCUGGUACAUCUAGAGCAUCGUCACCAUGUAGCAUUACUUUUCCUCAACAGUAGUUGUUGAUACUAGUGUUACUUUUCGAAUUUUGGACAGGCUAAUAUUAUCUCAGUUGCUUUUCUGAAAAAUCUCAUAUAAUUUUGUACACAGUAUGUUAUAUUUCAAGCUAGAAUUUAUGAAAAGGAAUUACUUUAUAAAAUAUUUUAGUUUCAAUGUUAUAAUCGAUAAGUACUAGUUCUGAAUGUACAGCUAAAAUUAUUUUUUUCUAGAAGCAUUUGAAAUUAUGAAUUAUUUGCAUACGUACUUAAAAUUUCUAUUAUUAAUUACACAACCCUUUUUUUUGCAUUUACUAUGUUUAUUUCUGGAUUCAUAUAUGAAAUAAUAAUUGAAAUUAAUUGUGUUAUGAAAACUAGUAGGAAUUUCUUUUUUUAAGAAAAAUUGUAAACCCUUUGUAAUAUUGUUAUUUUUGCAGAGUGAGAGAGUCAUGAGCUUGCCUCUGAUGUGAUCAGAUGUGUUUUUGUAUAAUAGUGUGAAUAAUGUAAUUUCAGCUUUGUUUGUGUGAAAAACCAAAAUACUGUAAGAUAUACUAAAAUGUGAGAAAAUCUGUGGAAAAUAUAUUUAUUUAAAAAAUGC